RNAcentral lists this ribosomal RNA (447 nucleotides) under uncultured bacterium. Its description in RNAcentral is "bacterial SSU rRNA". It matches the Rfam family "Bacterial small subunit ribosomal RNA", at positions 355 to 825 of the family's 1533-position model. The record is from RNAcentral.
UCGGGAAUUUUGGGCAAUGGGCGAAAGCCUGAUCCAGCAAUGCCGCGUGAGUGAUGAAGGCCUUAGGGUUGUAAAGCUCUUUUACCAGGGAUGAUAAUGACAGUACCUGGAGAAUAAGCUCCGGCUAACUCCGUGCCAGCAGCCGCGGUAAUACGGAGGGAGCUAGCGUUGUUCGGAAUUACUGGGCGUAAAGCGUACGUAGGCGGUGACUCAAGUCAGAGGUGAAAGCCUGGAGCUCAACUCCAGAACUGCCUUUGAAACUAGGUCGCUAGAAUCACGGAGAGGUGAGUGGAAUUCCGAGUGUAGAGGUGAAAUUCGUAGAUAUUCGGAAGAACACCAGUGGCGAAGGCGGCUCACUGGACGUGUAUUGACGCUGAGGUACGAAAGCGUGGGGAGCAAACAGGAUUAGAUACCCAAGUAGUCCCUGAGCGGGCUGGCAAGGCGCAU